Molecule: long non-coding RNA, 3854 nt
Organism: Ahaetulla prasina
Lineage: Eukaryota; Metazoa; Chordata; Lepidosauria; Squamata; Colubridae
Exons: 4
Source: RefSeq, a predicted model, not a curated record
CUUUUUCCAGCUUUCCAUGUAUAAUGAUUUCCAGCAGAAGGAUGAGGAAGCAGUGAUCUAUUUUGAUAUACGGUUUUCUGGACAUGAAAAUGAUACAUUGUAUACUUGGAUUCAGGAUUAAGAAUUCAAAUCUUGGUCCAGAAAUCAAGUCUAUAUUUUUUUUUUCUAAAAAUGUAAUCCAAAACAUUUUAUCUUAAAAAAUAAUUCCAAUUAAAAUCAAGUAUUCUUUAAUUUGUUUUCAGACCAGUCUUGGAAUGGAAAGUAACCAGCAUAAUUUAGUCCUUUUUUAAAAAGCAAGUAUAAAUGUUACUAAGCAGAAAAGAAAAUGCUCAUCUGCUUAAAACCAUCGUCUGAUGCAAUUUCCUGCUCUUCCAUUCUUACCUUUCAAUCAAGCUGCGCCCAUCAUUUUUGUAAGAAUGGCCUUUGACAAAUAUUCAGAAACUACAAUGAAUGCAAGGCUUACAAAGUAUGUAUCCAAUGUUGGUAAGUAUAUGGCUGCUGAAUUCUGGAUCCUGCUGCAUAGGUAAGUAAGGCAUCCAUAAGUUGGUUAUAGUUAUAUGUAGCUCUCCAGUGAUGACACAAGAAAUCAGUUUGGGAGAAAUUAUGAAUGAAAUCAUGUAUAAAUAAGUAGAAAUAAGAGGAACAAGUUCAAAAAUGUGACUUGGCCAUUCUGAGAUCAAAGCAAGAUUGAGAAUAGUGUCUGGUUGGUAUUUGUUUAGAAAAGACAUCUGUCUGUUUCAGCUACAUGGCCUAACUGUACGUCUUUUCAUGGCUACACUUAACAAAAAAAUGAAUAUAAAUGGAAAACAAUGAUUAAUUGGAUGGUAUAAGUGGAACUUUGAUAGAAUUAAUGAAAAAUCAAGGGAUAAUGAGGUGGCCUGAAUGUGAAACAGACAAGUCUUAAGAAUGGAUUUAUGGGCAAAUGGAAGAAAAGAAGUGAAAAAAUGAGAGGGAAGUCAAAUGACUGUAAGAAGUGAAAGUAUAAAAAUGAAUGGAAAGCAGAUGUGAGAAAAGAAAACAUGGAAGCUUCCUAGAACAGAGCAAAAAAAUUUUAUGGAGUGCCACAGAAGUGUGUGAAAGUAAAGACUCCUUUUUGAAUAAUGAGGUGAAAAAGGCUGCAGAUGAGGGAGGGAAACCUCAUAUACGAGAAUUAUUGUGCCAAAAAAGAAUAUGAGAGAAAGAAAUAGUGCAACUUAUAUGGAGGGAAAAUAUUUGCAAAAUGCAGUCAAAGAAAAAUAAAAGAAGCAACAGCAUGUUUAACAUGAGUGUGAAAACUGCAUAUGUGAUUGAUAAUUGGAAUAACAUACUUGAUUAAAGGCAGACUCAUUGGAUCCACAUAUACACUUGCCCAUGCAUUAUAACAUGCUAGGUUUUAGAAUAGAAUAGAUUUUUUUAUUGGCCAAGUGUGAUUGGACACACAAGGGAUUUGUCUUGGUGCAUAUGCUCUCAGUAUACAUAAAGGAAAAGGUACCUUUAUCAAGGUACAACACUUACAACACUUAAUGAUAGUCAUAGGCUACAAUUAAGCAAUCAGGAAACAAUCUAUUUCAGUAUAAAUCGUAAGGAUACAAGCAACAAAGUUACAGUCAUACAAUCAUACAGUUUUUGAGAAGAACAUGAUUGCACAGAAAGGCCAACGUCAGCUAAAGAAUUAGCAGCUUUGACUUCACAUUGUUCUGAACAGGUAAUAAUAAAUAGGCCAAGAUAAAGGAGAAGACUAAGAAAAUCAUGUUUAGAUGGAGAUGAGAUCCUAAAAAAGUCAGGAAAUUUAAAAUACAAAGACAAUGCAAGAAGCAGUGUAUGGAUGUGGUAGAAGGAAGAAUAAUAUGCAAGGUGCAGUGAGUGACAUAAAUGUAAAUUGGGCUGAGCUAUGUUUCCUUUUCUUCUUAUCACCUAUGUUUAAUACUUUGGAUUUUUUGUUCCAAACUCCUUUUUUGUGUCCUUCAUAAUCGGUGCGUAUUCCCUUAGGGAGAAGCAAAAUGGGUAUGUAUGUAUGUAUGUACAUUAUCCAAGUCAAAGAUGCAUAUCAGAAGAAUGAGAUCACCAGUCUGUCACUUGCACUUGAAAUAAAACAUUCAGAAAUUUGAAAGUGACGAUUGAUUAAUGCCUAGACAAGUUAUGCUUAUGUACGUCCAUAUAAACACAGAUAUACAAUGAGUGCUAAAUUCAGAAAAAAUGAUGGUGAUCUUGGCAGAAGUAAAUCCAGAUUUUCAGUGUGAAGACAGUUUCCCUUGGUUUGUGGGAUUUUUUUUUAGGUGUCUAUAAGACAGGACAGGACAAGAAUAAGUACUGUAAAUUAAUAAAAUUUUGCAAAAGAUUUUUCCACUCAUAUUAGUUUUUUUCCACUUCAUAUUAGUUGGAAGAGUGUAAUAGACAAAGCCUUGUCUUUUCAUCCUAUUCUUCACUUGGUGUACUUCUGUCCUAACAUCUGCAAAAUGUAUUUAGAGGCUUUGUCUAGUUUGAAUCAUUUAAACAGCCUGGGAUUAAAACUCCCACAUUCCAAUGAGUUGCAAUCACAAUGCAUCUGGACAACUUAAUAGAGAAAAUAACCUUAAAUUAAUCCUAAGCAAAGUGUACAGACACAUGGAUAUUUGAUUUCUCCAUCAAAAUUCCUCCAUAUAAUAUUUGUCAAUAUUAUUUCUACUGUACAAUCAGGGGCCCUGAAAUAGCUUAAUAUCAUAAUAGAAGGUGGACUAAUUCCGUCAUGAAUGUACUUCCCACCUCAAUGCACUUUUCACCUCAGAGCUGCCACACAUUUGCUCCGCUGAAUGCCCCCACUCUGCUCCUAUAGUCAGUACUAAUUAUAGCUACUAAUUCCUCUAGUAAGAUGGAUAUCAUGCUACAUGGUAAGAAGACAGUCUUUUCCAAUUUGCUGCCCAGAUUCUAAGUCAACUGGACCCUGAGAAUUCUAGAUGUCAUGAUCAGAUAUAACCAGUGGUGGGAUUCAGCCAGUUUGCGCCUAUUCGGGAGAACUGGUUGUUAACUUUCUAAGCAGUUUGGAGAACCGGUUGUUGGAAGAAAUCUUAUUUUGUUUUUCCCCACUUUACAGGGCUAAUCCUGUAAGGAAGGCAGGAAGGAAACCUUCUGGUGGUGUUUCUAGCCUAAUCUUUAUUGCCCUGCUUACAGAAACUGCCUCUUAUUACAUUGUAACAGCUAAGGCGAAGUGCCCAUCGACGUGAGUGAUGUUGAGUUGGCCACACCCACAGUCACAUGACCACAGAGCCACGCCCACCCAGCUGGUCAUUAGGGCAGAGAACCGGUUGUUAAAUUAUUUGAAUCUCACCACUGGAUAUAACCUGGAGGGCCCAAGUGGGAAAAUCUGAGUAAGAACUGUCCGACUGCUGAGAUGGAACUAGAAUGUUAAUGCAUUAUAGAGGUUGGCAGAAGCUGGGACAAGUAACGGGAGCUCACGACGCUACGCGACACUAGGGAUUUGAACCGCUGAACUGCCGACCUUUUGAUCGACAAGCUCAGCGUCUUAGCCACGGAGUCAUCGCAUCAGUCUAUAGGUCAUACUUAUUCCUGAGAGAAUGGAGAAAAUCUCUUCUGCUGACUCUGUAGUUCCCAGCUUAACACAUCCUGGUUAUUCAGAAAACUAAGCUUGAUGGAUAAACAGAUUAAAAGAAAACAUGGUACUUUGUUUCUACAUAUAACAACAGCAGCAAGACUCCUGUAAGCAGAAAUUGAAACUAUGGAGGAAUGGAUGGUGAAGUUAAUGGAAUUGGUUGCAUUGGCAAAACUAUUUUGAAUAAAAAAAUAUACUUUGUCUUUUAUUUCUAUCUGGAAACCAUUUUGGAUUUUUUGCUUGAAACUGAAAGAAAUGAAACUUUUUGGAAUUGAUAGUUAAAACUGUU